This 428-nucleotide ribosomal RNA is filed under the name bacterium. RNAcentral's name for it is "partial 16S ribosomal RNA". It matches the Rfam family "Bacterial small subunit ribosomal RNA", at positions 355 to 776 of the family's 1533-position model. The record is from RNAcentral.
UAGGGAAUCUUGCGCAAUGGGCGAAAGCCUGACGCAGCGACGCCGCGUGCGGGAAGAAGGCCUUCGGGUUGUAAACCGCUUUCAGGAGGGACGAAGCCACUCGGGUUAAUAGCCCAGAGGGUGACGGUACCUCCAGAAGAAGCCCCGGCUAACUACGUGCCAGCAGCCGCGGUAAUACGUAGGGGGCGAGCGUUGUCCGGAUUUAUUGGGCGUAAAGAGCGUGUAGGCGGCCAGGUAGGUCCGUUGUGAAAACUCGAGGCUCAACCUCGAGACGUCGAUGGAAACCAUCUGGCUAGAGUCCGGAAGAGGAGAGUGGAAUUCCUGGUGUAGCGGUGAAAUGCGCAGAUAUCAGGAAGAACACCUAUGGCGAAGGCAGCUCUCUGGGACGGUACUGACGCUGAGACGCGAAAGCGUGGGGAGCGAACAGG